Molecule: ribosomal RNA, 497 nt
Filed under: uncultured bacterium
Lineage: Bacteria
Description: partial 16S ribosomal RNA
Rfam family: Bacterial small subunit ribosomal RNA
Source: RNAcentral
GAUGAACGCUGGCGGCGUGCCUAAUACAUGCAAGUCGAGCGAACAGAUGAGGAGCUUGCUCCUCUGACGUUAGCGGCGGACGGGUGAGUAACACGUGGAUAACCUACCUAUAAGACUGGGAUAACUUCGGGAAACCGGAGCUAAUACCGGAUAAUAUAUUGAACCGCAUGGUUCAAUAGUGAAAGACGGUUUUGCUGUCACUUAUAGAUGGAUCCGCGCCGCAUUAGCUAGUUGGUAAGGUAACGGCUUACCAAGGCAACGAUGCGUAGCCGACCUGAGAGGGUGGUCGGCCACACGGGAACUGAGGCACGGUCCAGACUCCUACGGGAGGCAGCAGUAGGGAAUCUUCCGCAAUGGGCGAGAGCUUGACGGAGCAACGCCGCGGGAGUGAUGAAGGUCUUCGGAUCGUAAAACUCUGUUAGUAGGGAAGAACAAAUGUGUAAGUACCUAUGCACGUCUUGACGGUACCGAAUCAGAAAGCCACGGCUAACUACGUG